Molecule: long non-coding RNA, 826 nt
Filed under: Elaeis guineensis (African oil palm)
Lineage: Eukaryota; Viridiplantae; Streptophyta; Magnoliopsida; Arecales; Arecaceae
Description: long non-coding RNA (EGUI_LNC035351)
Source: RNAcentral
AUUUGCUUAAGCAUUCAAUCCGCUCGAUCAUGUACAAUACAUGAUUAGUGACUGAUGCCCCCUCUCGCAUACGAGCAUUGAACACAGUGCAGAAGAUUUUAUAUCUCUCCGCAUCCUCAAAGGUGCCGAAGGACUCAUUCAACAUUUGAAUCAUAUCCUCUAGUUAUGCAUCCUCGAACUUACGACUAAGUUUGUCAUUCAUGACUGCCCUCAUAAUGCAAUGCACCAUCGGACGAUCACUGAGCCACUUCAAAUAAGUGUCUCUCAUAGCAUGGGGUACAUUGGUAGCAGAUUCUUCAGGUGGUAGUCCGUAAGCACGUAUAGGAUCCUCUCAUGCUCCAGAACGAUCUUCAACUUUCAAUAUCAGCUAUCGAAGUUAGGUUCGGUAAGCUUGUCGCUGUCCAACAUCGAAUAGAGCGAUAGUAUGUUGGCCAUAGCUGAAAAGAAGAAAUAUAAACCUAUUAGUAUAUGAAUUAUUUUAAUUUUAAAGACAUGAACUUUAGUCUAAAGGUUCUCUUACUAUUUUAUACGAAUUGGUGGCCUCUACCUUCAAUUCGAGGUAUUACAUUAAUUUCUUAGCGGAUACUAGAAUCCACACAGACUGCAUUCGAGUCCGAGUGUGGCUCGGCCAACCCUAGUACAUCCUUGGGUGGGUUCAUAACUAAUUAUUUUUCUAAAUAACUUCUAGCAAUUAGGUUUUGCCUCAAACAUCUCUUUUGUAGGCAUGUAGUGUCUCCACUGAAAAUCCUAGUUAGGUCCAAUCAUUAACAUGACUACACCAAGCGCAUCCAACAAAUGAAUAUCCAGGCUUAAGUGUGGCUCGACC